This 468-nucleotide ribosomal RNA is filed under the name uncultured bacterium. RNAcentral describes it as "partial 16S ribosomal RNA". It matches the Rfam family "Bacterial small subunit ribosomal RNA", at positions 28 to 507 of the family's 1533-position model. The record is from RNAcentral.
GACGAACGCUGGCGGCGUGCUUAACACAUGCAAGUCGAACGGACAGGCCCUGCUUUUGUUGGGUGCUCGAGUGGCGAACGGGUGAGUAACACGUGUGUAAACUGCCCUUGACUUUCGGAUAACUUCAGGGAACUGGGGCUCAUACCCGGUAUGAGCUAUUGCUGCAUGGUGGGGGUUGGUAAGUUCCGGCGGUUGGGGCUGGUCUCGCUGCUUAUCAGCUUGUUGGUGGGGUAGUGGCUUACCAAGGCUUUGACGGGUAGCCGGCCUGAGAGGUUGACCGGCCACAUUGGGACUGAGAUACGGCCCAGAAUCCUACGGGAGGCAGCAGUGGGGAAUAUUGCACAAUGGGCGGAAGCCUGAUGCAGCAACGCCGCGUGCGGGAUGACGGCCUUCGGGUUGUAAACCGCUUUCGCCUGUGACGAAGCGUGAGUGACGGUAAUGGGUAAAGAAGCACCGGCUAACUACGUG